UACGAACUGUGCGAACGUUAUUCGGAAUCACUGGGCUUAAAGGGUGCGUAGGCGGCGUCUCAAGUCAGGUGUGAAAUCCCCCGGCUCAACCGGGGAACUGCGCUUGAAACUGGGAUGCUCGAGUGAGGUAGGGGUGCAUGGAACUUCCGGUGGAGCGGUGAAAUGUGUAGAUAUCGGAAGGAACGCCGGCGGCGAAAGCGGUGCACUGGGCCUUGUCUGACGCUGAGGCACGAAAGCUAGGGGAGUGAACGGG
RNAcentral lists this ribosomal RNA (253 nucleotides) under uncultured bacterium. RNAcentral's name for it is "partial 16S ribosomal RNA". It matches the Rfam family "Bacterial small subunit ribosomal RNA", at positions 524 to 776 of the family's 1533-position model. The record is from RNAcentral.